AUCAAAACACAGAGGAGGGCGACCAGGGUUCUUCAAAACCCUAACUUUCAUAAAUCUUACAAAUUGAAGGCUCAAAUCUGUUCCAAAACGAAAUCCGAGCUAAGAUUAGUGAUCUCCAUUGCAAGGGGGUCAUAAGGAAAGGAAGCCGGAGCAUCGAGCGGACAAGCCGGUGUUGACGCACGAUUGAAGGGUGUGCUUUGAAGGUGAUGAUGGGGUCUUUCCGGAUGGCGAUCAAGCAUGUUUUGAAGAACCGAACACGAACUUUUGAAGCUUCCGC
Helianthus annuus (common sunflower) is the source of this 277-nucleotide long non-coding RNA. RefSeq lists it as uncharacterized. The record is from RefSeq and is a predicted model, not a curated record. The transcript is spliced from 3 exons. Lineage: Eukaryota; Viridiplantae; Streptophyta; Magnoliopsida; Asterales; Asteraceae.